Bombina bombina (fire-bellied toad) is the source of this 172-nucleotide long non-coding RNA. RefSeq lists it as uncharacterized. The transcript has 3 exons. NCBI's taxonomy places the organism in Eukaryota, Metazoa, Chordata, Amphibia, Anura, Bombinatoridae. The record is from RefSeq and is a predicted model, not a curated record.
CUACAAUUGUGUCUAGCACAGGAAACAAAACUUUAAGUGGAAAGCAGAGGGUGAACACAGGUUUGACACAGUAUGGAUAACUUGGAAGAUGAACUUUUUACACUAUCAAUUUCUUCUCCUAAAGAUGCUGAAUUUGACUGUAUAGUUGGACAUCUGGAGGAUAUCAUAAUGG